RNAcentral lists this ribosomal RNA (440 nucleotides) under uncultured bacterium. RNAcentral describes it as "partial 16S ribosomal RNA". It matches the Rfam family "Bacterial small subunit ribosomal RNA", at positions 338 to 795 of the family's 1533-position model. The record is from RNAcentral.
CCUACGGGAGGCAGCAGUGGGGAAUAUUGCACAAUGGGGGAAACUCUGAUGCAGCGACGCCGCGUGAGCGAUGACGUAUUUCGGUAUGUAAAGCUCUAUUAGCAGGGAAGAAAAUGACGGUACCUGACUAAGUAGCCACGGCUAACUACGUGCCAGCAGCCGCGGUAAUACGUAGGGGGCAAGCGUUAUCCGGAUUUACUGGGUGUAAAGGGAGCGUAGACGGCUAUGCAAGCCAGAUGUGAAAGCGUGGGGCUCAACCCCAGGAUUGCAUUUGAAACUGUAUAGCUGGAGUGUAGGAGAGGCAGGCGGAAUUCGUGGUGUAGCGGUGAAAUGCGUAGAUAUUAGGAAGAACACCAGUGGCGAAGGCAGCCUGCUGGACGGUGACUGACGUUGAGGCUCGAAAGCGUGGGGAGCAAACAGGAUUAGAUACCCGAGUAGUC